GGAGGCCUGAGGGGCUUUGGUGUUUUGGGAGGCUGCACGUCUUGGACCAGUGCUCGUGGAGUGCGGGGUUAGAAGUUUUGGGAAUAUUUAUCUUACUUAUGUCCCAUUAUGGGGGAACUUUUUUUUUAGUCACCGGCCAUGGCCAUAGCCUUUUUAUGUUUUUUCUAGGCCUUUUUGGUUCAAAAUCUCUGGUACGGUAAAAUACGGUAUUUUCCAAUGGCUUGUACGGUAAUACGCGUUUGAAAAGUUGGCUACCCUGGGUGGGCGUCUUGCAGGCUUACCUUGCGCGGACCUGCAGCUGUUUGAUUCGCUCGGAGCCUGAAGGGCUCCGCUCUCAAAAUCUCAUUUUUGUUGUUGUUGGUAACGUAGAUAACGUAGCAGGAAGUGCUGGAACCUCAAACGGGCAAUGUCAAUUACGAACUCCCGCGAACUUAUGCUCGAACUGCACUGCCACUGGUUGCACUGAGCAGGGACUUUCCGGAGCCCUUCGGGACCUGCACGUGCCCUUGAGGGAGGCGUGAGCUCGAAUUUAUUUCUUUUUUGAACCCUAUGUGUAUACACGUGGUUCCAGGGGGUGGGCAAACACGUAGCGGUGAAGCAGUCUGCUGUGGCACGCGCAUAUGCCCGUACGCACGGUACCAGCAGCCGAAAAUGGCAUACUGCUCAGCCAUGUUGCCGAACUGCCACCAAAAUAGAAAAUUACAAUGAAAACAAAAAAAUAAUUCCUUCAAUGUUCAAAGCUUAGCAGAAUUACGUUCAUACAGGACACGACACUGAGGGCCAACUGCACCACUUCGGCUUAGGAGUUAAGUGGAACUUAAUAAUUUAAGUUGACUACAUCACAGUUUAAGCGCCACUUAAACCAGUCUAAGUGGCACCUAGCUUAAGCCGUACCCGUGGUUCGGCUUAGCCAUAAGUGGGACCUGURCGCAAGCGUCGCGGGUUGGUUGACGGGUUACAAAUACAUACAUAACCAAAAACAGAUUGUUGAAUUCACGUUUUGGUUCAUUCUUGUUCGGCGGAUAUUUAAUAAGGUGAAUCAUGGCGUUCUUUAUGAAUUCUUUGACAUGGGACGAUGACGACGAUAUAUAUGAAUUGGAGAUAAUUGAAUUUGGGGUGCCAAGGCGGAUUAACAACCGUGCAAAUCAUUUUCAUGAUUUGGAUGAUUACUCAUUUUUUUUUUAAUUUCGACUAACCAAAGAGACUGUAAUGGUUCUAUUGCCGUUAAUUGAAGGACUGCUAGAGUUUCCGAUUGAGACAACUGGACAUUUACCACA
Long non-coding RNA from Dendroctonus ponderosae (mountain pine beetle), 1277 nucleotides. RefSeq lists it as uncharacterized. NCBI's taxonomy places the organism in Eukaryota, Metazoa, Arthropoda, Insecta, Coleoptera, Curculionidae. The record is from RefSeq and is a predicted model, not a curated record. The transcript is spliced from 3 exons.